UUGUGAGAAAAUCCGACUUGGAAGCUCUCAUACGAUCCAUUACCUCACUUAAGGAAUCCGGAUAUUAAGACCGGGAAAAGACUUGGAGAAGGAAAUGCCAAAGGAGAUCUUUAUGUUCUUGAGAAAACCUUACCAAGUUCUUCUACUUCAUUUAAUGCUUGUCUUGCUUUAAGUUCUAAUGGCGUGUGGCAUGCUAGAUUAGGCCAUCCUCACUCUCGUGCUCUUGAAUUGAUGUUGCCUAAUGUUUCAUUUGAUAGUUCUAGUUGUGAGUCUUGUAUUCUUGGUAAACAUUGCAAGUCUAUUUUCCCUAAAUCUAAGACCAUUUAUGAAAA
This is a long non-coding RNA of Capsella rubella, 332 nucleotides long. RefSeq lists it as uncharacterized. NCBI's taxonomy places the organism in Eukaryota, Viridiplantae, Streptophyta, Magnoliopsida, Brassicales, Brassicaceae. The transcript is spliced from 2 exons. The record is from RefSeq and is a predicted model, not a curated record.